CUCCGGGAGCUGAUUUGGUUAGAGGCUGUGGAGCAGGGAUAAAGCUGGCUAAUGCCGUGUGCUGUUGGCUUUCAACAAUUCCGGUAGCCUAGAUAGAGAAACUGAAGCACGGAGAGGUUAUGCAGCUUGCCCAGGUUCACGCAACUGGUAAGAACAGCAUCGGAGUCCAUGUUCGUAUCACUCAAGAUGUUCUGUUGGGGACAGCAUGCCGUGGUCUUGAGGUGAAGGAAACACCAACAGGUGAGUGGGAUGUGAGAGAAGAUGAAGGUAAUCGGUAAAGAGUGUGUUACAAGCCAGCCUCCACCCUGCGCAGCUGGAGCUGAAGCCUACUCUGGAAAACGAUGUUCCACUCACCCCGCAGAGUCACCAGGACCAACUCCUGUAAGUCAAUUGUUGAACAUUGAUGGGCUGUUAAUACUUUCACACUUUCAGCCUGCCUGCAUGGGUGGACAAAGUGUGCUUAGGUGGCCGAAGAAAG
This is a long non-coding RNA of Cercocebus atys (sooty mangabey), 478 nucleotides long. RefSeq lists it as uncharacterized. The record is from RefSeq and is a predicted model, not a curated record. The transcript has 3 exons. Lineage: Eukaryota; Metazoa; Chordata; Mammalia; Primates; Cercopithecidae.